RNAcentral lists this ribosomal RNA (503 nucleotides) under uncultured bacterium. RNAcentral describes it as "partial 16S ribosomal RNA". It matches the Rfam family "Bacterial small subunit ribosomal RNA", at positions 30 to 523 of the family's 1533-position model. The record is from RNAcentral.
AUUGAACGCUGGCGGCAGGCUUAACACAUGCAAGUCGAGCGGGGUGAUGGUGCUUGCACUAUCACUUAGCGGCGGACGGGUGAGUAAUGCUUAGGAAUCUGCCUAUUAGUGGGGGACAACAUCUCGAAAGGGAUGCUAAUACCGCAUACGUCCUACGGGAGAAAGCAGGGGAUCACUUGUGACCUUGCGCUAAUAGAUGAGCCUAAGUCGGAUUAGCUAGUUGGUGGGGUAAAGGCCUACGAAGGCGACGCUCUGUAGCGGGUCUGGGAGGGUGAUCCGCCACACUGGGACUGAGACACGGCCCAGACUCCUACGGGAGGCAGCAGUGGGGAAUAUUGGACAAUGGGGGGAACCCUGAUCCAGCCAUGCCGCGUGUGUGAAGAAGGCCUUAUGGUUGUAAAGCACUUUAAGCGAGGAGGAGGCUCUUUUGGUUAAUACCCAAGAUGAGUGGACGUUACUCGCAGAAUAAGCACCGGCUAACUCUGUGCCAGCCGCCGCCGUAA